UGUGAUGUCUAAAUGAUUUAUUUUUAGGCCAUAAUCCUGUCACCUUAGGUCGAUCGGUACCUCAGUUUGAUAUUAAUUAACUAAGCAAUUUAGUUCUUCUAAGUUAUUAAAUUCAGUUCCUAAACUUUGUCUAGGUCACACCCAACAAGGGUACUCCUGGGCCAUUAGCUCAGGUGGUUAGAGCGCACCCCUGAUAAGGGUGAGGUCCCUGGUUCAAGUCCAGGAUGGCCCAUUCGGUGUUGGGGGUAUAGCUCAGUUGGUAGAGCGCCUGCUUUGCAAGCAGGAUGUCAGCGGUUCGAGUCCGCUUACCUCCACUGAUCCACCUCCUGAUAACGAAGCCAAGGAGAUUUGUUUGAUGUGAUCUAGAUUUGUUCUGGAACUAAGAACCUAGCUUCUUGUCAGCAAGAUUAAUUAUUUAGCUUGCUAGAUAGGACGCUGGGCUCACUGCAAUACAAAUUGCAGAGUUCUUCAGUAGAACCUUGACAACUGCAUAGGUGAGUCUGGAAAAAAUAAAGCAUCUCAUGGAUGCAUUGUUUUGAUACAUAGCAUAAGUUCUAAUUUAUUUAGCCUUUGCUUAUGUACAAAGAUAAUGUUUAAUUCUUGAGCAAGAGCCGAGACUCUAUGAU
This 626-nucleotide transfer RNA is filed under the name uncultured Prochlorococcus sp. Its description in RNAcentral is "partial 16S-23S ribosomal RNA intergenic spacer". The stretch from base 242 to 314 matches the Rfam family "tRNA". Lineage: Bacteria; Bacillati; Cyanobacteriota; Cyanophyceae; Synechococcales; Prochlorococcaceae. The record is from RNAcentral.